AACGAACGCUGGCGGUAUGCUUAACACAUGCAAGUCGAACGAACAAAAUUGGGGCUUGCUCCAAUUUUAGUGAGUGGCAAACGGGUGAGUAACACGUGGGAAUCUACCUAUCAGUACGGAAUAACAUUUGGAAACAGAUGCUAAUACCGUAUAUUCUCCAAGGAGGAAAGAUUUAUCGCUGAUAGAUGAGCCCGCGUAAGAUUAGGUAGUUGGUAGGGUAAUGGCCUACCAAGCCGACGAUCUUUAGCUGGUCUGAGAGGAUGAUCAGCCACACUGGGACUGAGACACGGCCCAGACUCCUACGGGAGGCAGCAGUGGGGAAUAUUGGACAAUGGGCGAAAGCCUGAUCCAGCAAUACCGCGUGGAUGAUGAAGGCCUUAGGGUUGUAAAGUUCUUUUAGUUGGAAAGAUAAUGACGGUACCAACAGAAAAAGCCCCGGCUAACUCCGUGCCAGCAGCCGCCGUAA
RNAcentral lists this ribosomal RNA (466 nucleotides) under uncultured bacterium. RNAcentral describes it as "partial 16S ribosomal RNA". It matches the Rfam family "Bacterial small subunit ribosomal RNA", at positions 29 to 523 of the family's 1533-position model. The record is from RNAcentral.